AGUGAACGCUGGCGGUAGGCCUAACACAUGCAAGUCGAACGGCAGUACAGGAGAGCUUGCUCUCUGGGUGGCGAGUGGCGGACGGGUGAGGAAUACAUCGGAAUCUACUUUUUCGUGGGGGAUAACGUAGGGAAACUUACGCUAAUACCGCAUACGACCUACGGGUGAAAGCAGGGGACCUUCGGGCCUUGCGCGAUUGAAUGAGCCGAUGCCGGAUUAGCUAGUUGGCGGGGUAAGGCCCACCAAGGCGACGAUCCGUAGCUGGUCUGAGAGGAUGAUCAGCCACAAUGGAACUGAGACACGGUCCAGACUCCUACGGGAGGCAGCAGUGGGGAAUAUUGGACAAUGGGCGCAAGCCUGAUCCAGCCAUACCGCGUGGGUGAAGAAGGCCUUCGGGUUGUAAAGCCCUUUUGUUGGGAAAGAAAUCCAGCUGGCUAAUACCCGGUUGGGAUGACGGUACCCAAAGAAUAAGCACCGGCUAACUUCGUGCCAGCCGCCGCCGUAA
RNAcentral lists this ribosomal RNA (505 nucleotides) under uncultured bacterium. Its description in RNAcentral is "partial 16S ribosomal RNA". It matches the Rfam family "Bacterial small subunit ribosomal RNA", at positions 29 to 523 of the family's 1533-position model. The record is from RNAcentral.